Molecule: unclassified non-coding RNA, 2009 nt
Filed under: Monomorium pharaonis (pharaoh ant)
Lineage: Eukaryota; Metazoa; Arthropoda; Insecta; Hymenoptera; Formicidae
Description: protein O-mannosyl-transferase TMTC1, transcript variant X2
Source: RNAcentral
GUGCGUGGUAGCGUUGAGCAGCGCCGAGCAACAUGAGGCGACGGAACAACGGCGGUUCCACUUAUUUUUGCCAGGCGUCGUCGAAUAUCAAGCGAAACGGUCGCGGUGGUUGCAGCGAGACGAACGAGGCGAACGAGCCACCGGGAUGGUGCAUCUACGUGGCGGUCGCGCUCGUCGCGGUCGGCUGUUAUCUCAAUGCGCUCGAUUGCGACUUCGUGCACGAUGACAUACCGGCGGUGGUGAGGAACAGGGACGUGACCGGCGAGGCGUCAUGGAGCAGCGUGCUCAACGACGAUUUCUGGGGUACGCCGAUGGAGAGCAUCAAUAGUCACAAGAGCUAUCGACCUUUCACCACUCUGACGUUUCGGUUAAACUACUUGAUGGCGGGUCUAAGUCCCAUGUGGUAUCACGCCACGAACGUCGCCUUACAUGCCGCUGCGUGCAUCUUAGUCACCAGAGUGAGCCUCGUAGUAGCCGCGCUACGACCGGGAUUUGCAGCGCUCGCCGGACUACUAUUCGCCACACAUCCCGUGCACACGGAAGCGGUGACUGGCAUCGUAGGCAGAGCGGAUGUUCUAGCGUGUAUCUUCUUUUUGCUGUCUUUUCUUGCCUAUCACGGCCAACAGACGGCUUACGUAUGGUCUAGCGUUUGUCUAGGUGCCCUAUCAAUGCUGGCGAAGGAAACUGGCGUUACUGUUCUAGUACUGAACUUUCUUUACGACUUCUGUCGUUCCUGGCAUUCAAUCAAGAGGUCUAUUUCCGAAGCCAGGUGGAACGACGAUUCUAGAUAUUUUUCCAGACGUGCCGCAGCGUUACUUAUUUCAUUUAGCAUACUUCUUGUGGUGCGGCUCGCUCUACUUCAUGGUACUUUGCCGAACUUCUCCGCGCAGGAUAAUCCAGCUGCUUUUCAUCCCUGUUUCCACGUUAGAUUGUUGACUUUUUGUUACCUGGCGGCGCUGAAUUGUUGGUUGCUCCUGUGUCCGGCUAUACUCUCGCACGAUUGGCAAAUGGGAUCUGUUCCUCUGGUUACAUCUUUUACGGAUACCAGAAAUCUAGCCACUUGUAUAUUUUUCGGCGGUUGUCUAGUCCUCACGUACAAAGCCUUCACGGAUUUCGAGCAACAAAGGCAUCCGCCUCUUGUUCUGGGUUGGAUGUUCCUGGUGCUGCCGUUCCUACCUGCGUCCAAUCUUUUUGUCACAGUAGGUUUUGUUGUGGCAGAACGAGUUUUAUAUACACCGAGUGUCGGAUGGAUUAUUUUGAUCGUCUACGGUAUGCAGGUGAGCUGGACCGCUGUACCGCGACGGAAAAGCUGGCUUACUUCGGGCGUAGCUCUCCUGUUCUUAUUAGGAUGUUUCAAAACGGUUCUUCGGAACAACGAUUGGAGAUCUAGAGAAACUUUAAUCAAAGCGGGACUGCGGUCUCUACCCUACAAUGCCAAGAUGCAUUACAACUUCGCUAACUUCCUUAAAGACACGUCGCAACCGAAUCUUGCGGUUCAUCAUUAUCAGUUGGCUCUCUGGCUUUGGCCAGGGUAUGCUAGUGCACACAAUAAUCUUGGAACUCUCACGAUAGAUGACCAAGCUGAAUAUCAUUUUCUAGCAGCUAUUAACGCUCAUCCUGGUCACGUAAAUGCUCAUUAUAAUCUCGGACGAUUGUACAGACGAACGAAUCGAACUGAGCAGUGUAUCGAGAUGCUAAGAAAAUGCGUGUUGCUGGAUCCUGCAUACGCGCCGGCAUUCAGAGUCCUAGCGAGAAUCGCUACUGGUCCUGCAACAGGCGAGCUCCUGCGGCACGUAAUUCACCUUCAGCCACGAAACCCAGACGCUCUCGCCGAGUAUGCUUACUGGUUAUACAAGAACGAUGGCAUUUAAUGUUACGAGCGAAACGAGGAGGCUUCAUCUAUCGUGGGGAUUUGUAUAUUCGUGCGUGGGAGUUACAAAGCGAAUCUCGUCAAAGGACUCAUCAACAUCAACGGAAUCUCUGCAUAUCGGAGAACGGAUGUUCGAGGC